Molecule: ribosomal RNA, 253 nt
Filed under: uncultured bacterium
Lineage: Bacteria
Description: partial 16S ribosomal RNA
Rfam family: Bacterial small subunit ribosomal RNA
Source: RNAcentral
UACGAAGGGGGCUAGCGUUGUUCGGAAUUACUGGGCGUAAAGCGCGCGCAGGCGGUUUUUCAAGUCAGUGGUGAAAGCCCGGAGCUCAACUCCGGAACUGCCAUUGAAACUGUUAAACUUGAGGAUGAGAGAGGUGAGUGGAAUUCCCAGUGUAGAGGUGAAAUUCGUAGAUAUUGGGAAGAACACCGGUGGCGAAGGCGGUUCUCUGGGCCUUACCUGACGCUGAGGAGCGAAAGCAUGGGGAGCAAACAGG